GGCUUGACAUAUACAGGAAUAUGGCAGAGAUGUCAUAGCCGCAAGGUCUGUAUACAGGUGGUGCAUGGUUGUCGUCAGCUCGUGUCGUGAGAUGUUGGGUUAAGUCCCGCAACGAGCGCAACCCUCGUUCUGUGUUGCCAGCAUUUAGUUGGGGACUCACAGGAGACUGCCGGGGUUAACUCGGAGGAAGGUGGGGAUGACGUCAAAUCAUCAUGCCCCUUAUGUCUUUGGGCUGCACGCGUGCUACAAUGGCUGGUACAAACGGCUGCGAUACCGCAAGGUGGAGCGAAUCCGACAAAGCCAGUCUCAGUUCGGAUUGGGGUCUGCAACUCGACCCCAUGAAGUCGGAGUUGCUAGUAAUCGUAGAUCAGCAACGCUACGGUGAAUACGUUCCCGGGGCUUGUACACACCGCCCGUCACAUCACGAAAGUCGGUAACACCCAAAGUCAGUGCCC
This 455-nucleotide ribosomal RNA is filed under the name uncultured Actinomycetes bacterium. RNAcentral's name for it is "bacterial SSU rRNA". It matches the Rfam family "Bacterial small subunit ribosomal RNA", at positions 978 to 1435 of the family's 1533-position model. The record is from RNAcentral. Lineage: Bacteria; Bacillati; Actinomycetota; Actinomycetes.